RNAcentral lists this long non-coding RNA (288 nucleotides) under Gossypium barbadense (sea-island cotton). RNAcentral's name for it is "long non-coding RNA (GBAR_LNC003223)". Lineage: Eukaryota; Viridiplantae; Streptophyta; Magnoliopsida; Malvales; Malvaceae. The record is from RNAcentral.
ACCUCUUAAAAGAAAACAAAAAAUUUCCCUUCUCCUUUCCUAAAACAAGUUAUGUGAGUGGCUAAAAAUUACCAAUUGAAAUUAGCUUAUAGCUAACUCAUAUAAUAAAACGUGGUGAAUAAAUAAUGUUCCUACCAAACGUAGCAUAAAAGAAAUAGACGAAAGCAAGGUUGCAUGUAAAUAAUGUUCCUACCAAACGUAGCAUAAAAGAAAUAGACGAAAGCAAGGUUGCAUGUCAGCCACCUUUACUAAAGCUGGAUGCUGCUUCCAAAACUUGGCUUGUUCUUG